Monopterus albus (swamp eel) is the source of this 2202-nucleotide long non-coding RNA. RefSeq lists it as uncharacterized. The transcript has 2 exons. The record is from RefSeq and is a predicted model, not a curated record. Lineage: Eukaryota; Metazoa; Chordata; Actinopteri; Synbranchiformes; Synbranchidae.
GACGAGUUUGUUGUCCUCCCUUUAAUCACAUUUACAAACAUAAUCAGACAUGGAUUUUACACUUUACCUCUUCCAUGUUUCUGAUACAUUUCUAAGGAAUUUUUUAAUCCUUUUGAUAAUGAGAGUACAUGUGGCAGAGGAAAUAAGUUACUGAUAUGAAGUUCAAUGGAAAAGGCAGAAAGCAGACAAUAACAAAACAUCAAUUAUUUGAAAUAAUAAUAAUAAUACAAAAAUGCUACAGGAAAUUCAGUCUAUGUAUUUUAACAUUUAGCACGUCACAUUGCAUCAUCAGUGGUCAGUUUGUUCCAGAAAGCUAAACAACUGACAUAUUAAAGGAAUUAAAGUGAUUAAGGCAGUUGGCGCAUGAUGAUAACAAAAUAAAAACUUAAGGUAACUUGCUGCAAAGAUAAAAAUUUUUUUUUUUUAAAGAACUGUGUUGCUGCACUGUCACAGAAGGCCAAACAGUUUAAGUACAGGGAGAAUAGUGACAGACUUGUAGGAUAUGAUUAAAAAUAAUACAUUUUUCCAACAGAUACAGGAUUAUUUUUAUACUUCUGCUGCUGCAGAAAUGAUAGAUGAAUAUGUAAAGGCUGCAACCAUGAGCACAGUAUCACAUACAUCAACAUUACUGUACACAGAAAUACACUAACAAGUCAGCAACAGAGACACUUAGGAAAAAGAAUGGUUUGCAAGCAGUAUCUUUCAGCUAAUCAAAGGUAUUUCAUUAACUGGAGAUUAGAAAAGAUAAAUCUGAUAAUUGAGGUCAAACUCACAAAUACCUACUUCCCUUUAGAGUUGAAAAGGUUAGUCUGUGCCAUGUGGUUUGUUUUUGGCUCGCUACCAUCUGCUGCUUCUCAUUUUUCUCUGACAUUUCCUGUUCUGCCCUCAGGUUGAAGAAUUAUGCUUAAAACGCUAGUAGUUGCUGCAUUUACUGCCCUACCAAAAACCUGUAUCUGUUACUUAUUUCUUACUCUCUCUCUUACCCUGGAAGCUACAUCUUAUAUUUUUACAUCUUUUAAGACUAACCUAUGAUUUGGCAGUAAGAGGAGGCCACUGUCAGCAGCAGACGUUGCAUGUCAGGGAGAUUUUAUGCUUAGUUUUUCAACAUUGAGCAAAGUACUCUACCUGCUGGUGAGGAGUGGAAUCACCAGACUGUAUUUACAGUGGCAAACAAAAUGACACAUUACCUGAGAGUGCACUUUGAGUCACUGAGUUUCCUACUCAGAAUUUGGGGUUAAACAUGUUUGUUUUAUUUAUGUUUUUCCCCAUUUUGUAUUUAGAGGGUUUUUUCCUGGAAGUUUUUUGCAUACCCUACUGUAUAUUACUCAGAUGGAAAUAGGAAAAUCCGUUGUAAAUGUUAAAUCUUUUAAAUGAGUUUUGACAUUUAUUCAUAGACAACCCUGCUCAAAUGACUUUUUUGUUAAUAACCUAAGAACAAUCAUUAUGAGUUGGUGGCACUUUGCAGUCCUGUGUCUGUAUUUUGUAUACUGUAUAUGGCCUUAUAAUGCAAGCAUCUCGAUUUGUACUUCCAGUUGAAGAGUUUAGCUCAAGGUGAUCUGACAAAGAAAGUGUGCUUUGUGCAAAUGAUUUUAUUCAUAGAUAACAGACAGAACAGAAAAAAAAGAUGUCCUUUCCAGCUGAGAACAGACAGUGGCUGCCUCUAACACCUGUGACUCUCAACUUGAAUUUGCUUUUAAAUCAAGUCUACACAUGUGUAAUCUUCAUACAAAAUAAAAAGACCUGACCAGACAGAAAACCCUUUUUCAUGCCUGCUUAUAAACAACUGCUGCUCCACACAGUCAUGUGGUACAAGAGAGCAUAAAUACACACAGUUAGAGACUGUAUGAAAAUUAUUGUGGCAGAAAGGGGGAUAGAAUCAUCCAUUUCAGUCUUUGAAAAAGCAAGGCCCUUCUCAACAUAUCAGUUCUUUUUGCUGCCCCUCACCCACCCUCUGCGUAUGGUAACAUGACCCACUUUGCACAAUCAACCAUCAUUUGCACCAAUACGAUCCUAUUUAGAUCAUAUAGGAAGGACAUGCAGAAAUAUAAAAUUGUGAGUAAAACUUUAAUGAUCAACCCCUUCUCUCCCAAAAUGUCAGACUACCCCUCUCUUCAGCAAAAAAUACACCCCCACCUUUUUUUGACCACCCCUUCCUUCCUAAUAAUUUUUGUAUAGUCCCUUGUGUGGUCAAAAAAAAAAAAA